This 340-nucleotide unclassified non-coding RNA is filed under the name soil metagenome. RNAcentral's name for it is "partial contains 5.8S ribosomal RNA, internal transcribed spacer 2, and large subunit ribosomal RNA". The stretch from base 1 to 120 matches the Rfam family "5.8S ribosomal RNA", at positions 35 to 154 of the family's 154-position model. The record is from RNAcentral.
GAUGAAGAACGUAGUGAAAUGCGAUAAGUAAUGUGAAUUGCAGAGUUCAGUGAAUCAUCGAAUCUUUGAACGCACAUUGCGCCCGUUAGUAUUCUGACGGGCAUGCCUGUCCGAGCGUCAUUUCAACCCUCAAGCACGGCUUGGUGUUGGCGGAUUGCGUGCCCUAGCGGCGCUGCACCCGCCCAAAUACAGUGGCGGUCCCGCUGCGGCUCCCUUUGCGUAGUAACUCACCUCGCACUGGACCGGGUGGCGGCUCGCCGUAAAACCCCAACUCACGAAAUGUUGACCUCGGAUCAGGUAGGAAUACCCGCUGAACUUAAGCAUAUCAAUAAGCGGAGGA